UACGGAAGGCAGCAGUGGGGAAUAUUGCACAAUGGGCGAAAGCCUGAUGCAGCUAUGCCGCGUGUACGAAGAAGGCCUUAGGGGUUGUAAAGUACUUUCAUCGGGGAGGAAAAAACAAAACUAAUAAUUUUAUUUCUUGACGUUACCCGAAAAAGAAGCACCGGCUAACUCCGUGCCAGCAGCCGCGGUAAUACGGAGGGUGCUAGCGUUAAUCAGAAUUACUGGGCGUAAAGAGCACGUAGGUGGUUUUUUUAAGUCAGAUGUGAAAUCCCUGGGCUUAACCUAGGAACUGCAUUUUGAAACUGAAAUACUAGAGUAUCGUAGAGGGAGGUAGAAUUCUAGGUGUAGCGGUGAAAUGCGUAGAUAUCUGGAGGAAUACCUGUGGCGAAAGCGGCCUCCUAAACGAAUACUGACACUGAGGGUGCGAAAGCGUGGGGAGCAAACAGGGAUUAGAUACC
Molecule: ribosomal RNA, 458 nt
Filed under: uncultured bacterium
Lineage: Bacteria
Description: bacterial SSU rRNA
Rfam family: Bacterial small subunit ribosomal RNA
Source: RNAcentral